RNAcentral lists this ribosomal RNA (329 nucleotides) under uncultured eukaryote. RNAcentral describes it as "partial 18S ribosomal RNA". It matches the Rfam family "Eukaryotic small subunit ribosomal RNA", at positions 1470 to 1796 of the family's 1831-position model. The record is from RNAcentral.
CCCUUAGAUGUCCUGGGCCGCACGCGCGUUACACUGAUGCAUUCAACGAGCUUAUAACCUUGGCCGAGAGGCCUGGGCAAUCUUGUUAACGUGCAUCGUGAUAGGGAUAGAUUAUUGAAAUUAUUAAUCUUGAACGAGGAAUUCCUAGUAAACGCAGAUCAUCAAUCUGCAUUGAUUACGUCCCUGCCCUUUGUACACACCGCCCGUCGCACCUACCGAUUGGAUGGUCCGGUGAAAUCUUCGGAUCUGAGAGAUGUCUGAUUAAUUUCGGACGCCUUUUGGAAAAGUUGUUUAAACCUUACCAUUUAGAGGAAGGUGAAGUCGUAACA